UUAUUAAAGGAUUCCGGUAAAGGAUGGGGAUGCGUUCCAUUAGGUUGUUGGUGAGGUAACGGCCCACCAAGCCUUCGAUGGAUAGGGGUUCUGAGAGGAAGGUCCCCCACAUUGGAACUGAGACACGGUCCAAACUCCUACGGGAGGCAGCAGUGAGGAAUAUUGGUCAAUGGGCGCUAGCCUGAACCAGCCAAGUAGCGUGAAGGAUGAAGGCUCUAUGGGUCGUAAACUUCUUUUAUAUAAGAAUAAAGUGCAGUAUGUAUACUGUUUUGUAUGUAUUAUAUGAAUAAGGAUCGGCUAACUCCGUGCCAGCAGCCGCGGUAAUACGGAGGAUCCGAGCGUUAUCCGGAUUUAUUGGGUUUAAAGGGAGCGU
This 373-nucleotide ribosomal RNA is filed under the name Bacteroides fragilis. Its description in RNAcentral is "bacterial SSU rRNA". It matches the Rfam family "Bacterial small subunit ribosomal RNA", at positions 198 to 572 of the family's 1533-position model. Lineage: Bacteria; Pseudomonadati; Bacteroidota; Bacteroidia; Bacteroidales; Bacteroidaceae. The record is from RNAcentral.